AGGAUAAACGCUGGCGGCGUGCCUAACACAUGCAAGUCGAACGCGCUUUCGGGCUUCGGUGCGAGAGCGAGUGGCGGACGGGUGAGUAACACAUGGGUACCUGCCUUUCAGUGAGGGAUACCGGCGAGAAAUCGCCGACAAUACCGCAUGGGCUUGUGGGAACACAAGCAAAGUGGCGCAAGCCACGCUGGAAGAUGGGCCUGUGGCCGAUUAGCUAGUUGGGGGGGUAACGGCCUCCCAAGGCGACGAUCGGUAGCUGGUCUGAGAGGACGAUCAGCCACACUGGGAUUGAGAACGGCCCAGACUCCUACGGGGGGCAGCAGUGAGGAAUUUUCCGCAAUGGGCGCAAGCCUGACGGAGCAACGCCGCGUGCAGGAAGACGGUUUUCGGACCGUAAACUGCUUUUCUCGGGGACGAGAACGGACGGUACCCGAGGAAUCAGCCCCGGCUAACUACGUGCCAGCAGCCGC
This 470-nucleotide ribosomal RNA is filed under the name uncultured bacterium. Its description in RNAcentral is "SSU rRNA". It matches the Rfam family "Bacterial small subunit ribosomal RNA", at positions 26 to 518 of the family's 1533-position model. The record is from RNAcentral.